RNAcentral lists this ribosomal RNA (335 nucleotides) under uncultured bacterium. Its description in RNAcentral is "bacterial SSU rRNA". It matches the Rfam family "Bacterial small subunit ribosomal RNA", at positions 29 to 369 of the family's 1533-position model. The record is from RNAcentral.
AAUGAACGUUGGCGGCGUGGAUUAGGCAUGCAAGUCGUACGCACAGCUUCGGCUGUGAGUGGCGCAAGGGUGAGUAAUGCGAAGGUAACCAACCCUGGAGUUGGGCAUAACCGCGGGAAACUGCGGGUAAUUCCCAGCGAUGUCGCGAGAUGGCAUCAUCUUGCGACCAAAGGUGUGAUUCCGCUCUAGGACGGGCCUUCGUGGUAUUAGGUAGUUGGUGAGGUAACGGCUCACCAAGCCGACGAUGCCUACCGGGUGUGAGAGCAUGACCCGGCACACUGGAACUGAGACACUGUCCAGACACCUACGGGUGGCUGCAGUCGAGAAUCUUCGGC